UGGGUUGUGACUCAGUGGUAGAGUUCCUGCCUGGCAUGUGUGAGGCCCUGGGUUCGAUCCUUAGCAUCACAU
This 72-nucleotide transfer RNA is filed under the name Ictidomys tridecemlineatus (thirteen-lined ground squirrel). RNAcentral's name for it is "Spermophilus tridecemlineatus (thirteen-lined ground squirrel) tRNA". It matches the Rfam family "tRNA". Rfam says of the family: Transfer RNA (tRNA) molecules are approximately 80 nucleotides in length. Their secondary structure includes four short double-helical elements and three loops (D, anti-codon, and T loops). Further hydrogen bonds mediate the characteristic L-shaped molecular structure. tRNAs have two regions of fundamental functional importance: the anti-codon, which is responsible for specific mRNA codon recognition, and the 3' end, to which the tRNAs corresponding amino acid is attached (by aminoacyl-tRNA synthetases). tRNAs cope with the degeneracy of the genetic code in two manners: having more than one tRNA (with a specific anti-codon) for a particular amino acid; and 'wobble' base-pairing, i.e. permitting non-standard base-pairing at the 3rd anti-codon position. Lineage: Eukaryota; Metazoa; Chordata; Mammalia; Rodentia; Sciuridae. The record is from Rfam by way of RNAcentral.